GCAGUUGCAUCAGCUCAGUCCAAUAGACCUUUUCACAGGGCAUGGCACUAACAACGUCAUCGCCUACCGGGCGCCGAUUUGGUUCACUUUUGAUGCAUUGGCAUUGGCCUUUGUUAAACGCGUGAGUCUAGAGCCAAAGCAACAAUAUUUCUUUUCGAACUUUAACCGGCGCCUACAGCAAUGCAUUGAAUCAGGUGAGGCCUCAUUAGGACUCGGCUUUUGUGUGUUAUGAACAACCUCUUUCUGAUCUCUUUCGUGACUCUGCCGUGUCAUUUUGAGUGAUGAUGUAACAUCGAGACUUGACAGACGUCAAAUGCGGAUACAAACGUGCAACGUGCGGCGUUUAGGGAAUGACUGACGUGAAGAGAAAGUCUUUAGACAAGUCUGGUGGUACUGAGAGAUAAACUUUAUUGCCAUUUGAAUGACGUUGACUGGUGGUUGCCAAGGGAUACUCUACAUCAAAGUCUACCACAGUCAUUUAGAGAGACUUUCCCAAAAAAGACCUACAUCAUUGAUGCAACAAAACUAUUUACAAAACGUAAUUCAGAUAGAGGUUUGCAAUCAGCUUUCUUCUCCAGAUACAAACACCACCACACUGUGAAAGCAUUGGUUGCAAUAUCGCCACCAUGUGGUCAUGUUAUAUUUGUGUUACAACUAUCUACUGGUGCCAUAACAGACAGGGAACUUACCAAGCAGUCUGAUUUUCUCAUUAAAUUUGUGCCUGGAGAUCAAGUCAUGGCAAACAAAAGGUUUGUUAUUGCUGGCAUUCUCAUGGACGUUGGGCAUCUCUUGUGCAACCUCCUUUUCUAAAAGGAGGACGUCAAUUUACUGAGGAGUAAGUCAUUAAAUGCUGACAAGUGGC
Corticium candelabrum is the source of this 862-nucleotide long non-coding RNA. RefSeq lists it as uncharacterized. The record is from RefSeq and is a predicted model, not a curated record. Lineage: Eukaryota; Metazoa; Porifera; Homoscleromorpha; Homosclerophorida; Plakinidae. The transcript has 3 exons.